AUUGAACGCUGGCGGCAGGCCUAACACAUGCCAGUCGAGCGGAUGACGGGAGCUUGCUCCUGGAUUCAGCGUCGGACGGGUGAGUAAUGCCUAGGAAUCUGCCUGGUAGUGGGGGAUAACGUCCGGAAACGGGCGCUAAUACCGCAUACGUCCUGAGGGAGAAAGUGGGGGAUCUUCGUACCUCACGCUAUCAGAUGAGCCUAGGUCGGAUUAGCUAGUUGGUGGGGUAAAGGCCUACCAAGGCGACGAUCCGUAACGGGUCUGAGAGGAUGAUCCGUCAAACUGGAACUGAGACACGGCCCAGACUCUUACGGGAGGCAGCAGUGGGGAAUAUUGGACAAUGGGCGAAAGCCUGCUCCAGACAUGCCGCGGGGUUGAAGAAGGUCUUCGGAUUGUAAAGCAUGUUAAGUUGGGAGGAAGGGCAGUAAGUUAAUACCGUGCUGUUUUGACGUUACCAACAGAAUAAGCAACGGCUAACUUCGUG
RNAcentral lists this ribosomal RNA (484 nucleotides) under uncultured bacterium. Its description in RNAcentral is "partial 16S ribosomal RNA". It matches the Rfam family "Bacterial small subunit ribosomal RNA", at positions 30 to 507 of the family's 1533-position model. The record is from RNAcentral.